GACGAACGCUGGCGGCGUGCUUAACACAUGCAAGUCGAACGGAAAGGCCCUGCUUUUGUGGGGUGCUCGAGUGGCGAACGGGUGAGUAACACGUGAGUAACCUGCCCUUGACUUUGGGAUAACUUCAGGAAACUGGGGCUAAUACCGGAUAGGAGCUCCUGCUGCAUGGUGGGGGUUGGAAAGUUUCGGCGGUUGGGGAUGGACUCGCGGCUUAUCAGCUUGUUGGUGGGGUAGUGGCUUACCAAGGCUUUGACGGGUAGCCGGCCUGAGAGGGUGACCGGCCACCUGGGGCCUGAGAUACGGCCCAGACUCCUACGGGAGGCAGCAGUGGGGAAUAUUGCACAAUGGGCGGAAGCCUGAUGCAGCAACGCCGCGUUCGGGAUGACAGCCUGCGGGUUGUAAACCGCUUUCGCCUGUGACGAAGCGUGAGUGACGGUAAUGGGUAAAGAAGCACCGGCUAACUACGUG
This 468-nucleotide ribosomal RNA is filed under the name uncultured bacterium. Its description in RNAcentral is "partial 16S ribosomal RNA". It matches the Rfam family "Bacterial small subunit ribosomal RNA", at positions 28 to 507 of the family's 1533-position model. The record is from RNAcentral.